CCUACGGGAGGCAGCAGUGAGGAAUAUUGGUCAAUGGGCGCGAGCCUGAACCAGCCAAGUCGCGUGAGGGAGGACGGCCCUACGGGUUGUAAACCUCUUUUGCCGGGGAGCAACGGGCGUCACGUGUGGCGCCACUGAGAGUACCCGGAGAAAAAGCCUCGGCUAACUCCGUGCCAGAAGCCGCGGUAAUGCGGAGGAUGCGAGCGUUAGCCGGAGUUAGUGGGUUAAAAGGGUGCGUAGGCGGCUCGUUAAGUCAGUGGUCAAAUUGAGGGGCUCAACCCCUUCCCGCCAUUGAAACUGGCGCUCUUGAGUGGAAGAGAAGUAUGCGGAAUGCGUGGUGUAGCGGUGAAAUGCAUAGAUAUCACGCAGAACCCCGAUUGCGAAGGCAGCAUGCCGGCUUCCGACUGACGCUGAAGCACGAAAGCGUGGGGAUCAAACAGGAUUAGAUACCCUUGUAGUC
RNAcentral lists this ribosomal RNA (460 nucleotides) under uncultured bacterium. RNAcentral's name for it is "partial 16S ribosomal RNA". It matches the Rfam family "Bacterial small subunit ribosomal RNA", at positions 338 to 795 of the family's 1533-position model. The record is from RNAcentral.